CGUGCAAUUGCUGGGUAUAUGGUAAGACUAUGUUUAGCUUUGUAAGAAAUUGUCUUCCAAAGUGGUUGAAUCAUUUUUCUUUCCCACGAGCAAU
Molecule: microRNA precursor, 94 nt
Filed under: Marmota monax (woodchuck)
Lineage: Eukaryota; Metazoa; Chordata; Mammalia; Rodentia; Sciuridae
Source: RNAcentral